Molecule: ribosomal RNA, 301 nt
Filed under: uncultured bacterium
Lineage: Bacteria
Description: partial 16S ribosomal RNA
Rfam family: Bacterial small subunit ribosomal RNA
Source: RNAcentral
CAGCCGCCGCGGGAAUACGUAGGUGGCGAGCGUUGUCCGGAAUUAUUGGGCGUAAAGCGCGCGCAGGCGGAUCAGUUAGUCUGUCUUAAAAGUUCGGGGCUUAACCCCGUGAUGGGAUGGAAACUGCUGAUCUAGAGUAUCGGAGAGGAAAGUGGAAUUCCUAGUGUAGCGGUGAAAUGCGUUGAGAUCGGAAAGAACACCAACGGCGAAAGCACUCUGCUGGGCCGACACUGACACUGAGAGACGAAAGCUAGGGGAGCAAAUGGGAUUAGAUACCCGGGUAGUCCCUGUCUCUUAUACA